AAUAGGAAGUUAAACUAAACCUAAAUACAUUAGGAAAAUAUAGAUAAAACAGGAAAUUAAACUAAUCCUAGCUAGAGUUGGAAAACAUUAACUAGUCCUAGAUGGGAUAGGAAUGCCUCUUAAUUCAUUCUAAAACAAUUCCUGCAGCUGUUUCUUGUUGUACAAGAAGUCCAGGUUGAACUAGGACUGCUGGGAGACAGAAUUAAUAAUAAAAAAAAACGUAGCUGCCAUCCUGGAAGGAGGACUACAUGCUCUGGGCGUGUGGCAAGGGCCUGGUACACGCAAAGGGCGUGUAAUGUUCUAAGACACUCUGCUGGACACACCAUUUUCUGCAAUUUCUCAACAUCACUUUGGCAGGCUCUGUUAUUGUGUAGUUGGAUAAUAG
Molecule: unclassified non-coding RNA, 385 nt
Filed under: Hevea brasiliensis (rubber tree)
Lineage: Eukaryota; Viridiplantae; Streptophyta; Magnoliopsida; Malpighiales; Euphorbiaceae
Source: RNAcentral